ACCAGUAUGGCCGAGUGGAUAAGGCAUUGGACUUAAGAUCCAGUGGAUAUAUAUAUCCGCGUGGGUUCGAACCCCACUUCUGGUA
Molecule: non-coding RNA, 85 nt
Organism: Pseudophryne corroboree (corroboree frog)
Lineage: Eukaryota; Metazoa; Chordata; Amphibia; Anura; Myobatrachidae
Source: the annotation of a RefSeq genome assembly